UACGAAGGGGGCUAGCGUUGCUCGGAAUCACUGGGCGUAAAGGGUGCGUAGGCGGGUCUUUAAGUCAGGGGUGAAAUCCUGGAGCUCAACUCCAGAACUGCCUUCGAUACUGGAGAGCUCGAGUCCGGGAGAGGUGAGUGGAACUGCGAGUGUAGAGGUGAAAUUCGUAGAUAUUGCAAGAACACCAGUGGCGAAGGCGGCUCACUGGCCCGGUACUGACGCUGAGGUGGCG
Molecule: ribosomal RNA, 232 nt
Filed under: uncultured bacterium
Lineage: Bacteria
Description: partial 16S ribosomal RNA
Rfam family: Bacterial small subunit ribosomal RNA
Source: RNAcentral